GUUCAUUGAAGAUGAACGUUCUUUUGAACGCUGGGAUGAUCACAGUAUCAAUCUUCUCAGGCAUGAAUUUAUGCGAUUUGAGAAUGCUGUGGUGCACUGUGCCAUGCAUCCCUGGCAAAGAGAUGCUCGUUUGGUGUAUGAGGCUUUGAGGCUUGGUCCACAAUCUUAUGGUGUGAUUGUGGAGAUUGCAUGCACUAGAUCCUCAGAAGAGUUAUUGGGAGCAAGGAAAGCCUACCAUUCCCUCUAUGAUCACUCCAUUGAAGAAGAUGUUGCCACCCAUAUCACUGGCAGUGAGCGUAAGCUCCUGGUAGCACUAGUGAGUGCGUAUAGGUAUGAAGGGCCAAAGGUUAGGGAAGACACUGCAAAAUCUGAAGCAAAAAUAGUUGCUAAUGCUAUUAAAAAUGGUGAUAAGAAAAAUCCUAUAGAGGAUGAUGAGGUGAUAAGAAUUCUAACAACAAGAAGCAAGCUCCAUCUCAAGGCUAUUUACAAACAUUACAACGAAGUUUCUGGCAAAAGCAUCCAUGAGGAUCUUGAAGCUGCUGACUUGAUUUUAAAGGAGACAGUUGAAUGCUUAUGUACUCCUCAUACAUAUUUCAGCAAGGUAAUAGAUGAGGCAAUGAGAAAUGAUGCAGAUCACAACACCAAAAAUUCACUGACAAGAGUAAUUGUUACCAGAGCAGAUGUGGAUUUGAAAGAGAUUAAAGAAGGGUACAAUAGCUUAUACGGAGUCCCCCUUUCCCAGAAAAUUGAAGACAAUGCAAAUGGGAACUAUAAGGAUUUCUUGCUUGCCUUGAUAACAAAAGACUAAUUGGAGGAGUUAAGGAUGAGAACAGAAACUGAAAUUAAGAGGAAUUUGGUGAAAUGAUUGAAUUCUGGCUUCAAUGGUUAUGUUCUUAUCUUCACCUACGUUUUUCCCUUCAUCUGUGUUUCAUGAAAUGUUGCCUUGUGUGUGUAUGAGUUGUGGU
RNAcentral lists this unclassified non-coding RNA (965 nucleotides) under Hevea brasiliensis (rubber tree). Lineage: Eukaryota; Viridiplantae; Streptophyta; Magnoliopsida; Malpighiales; Euphorbiaceae. The record is from RNAcentral.